CCUGCAGUCGAACGAUGAAGUGGAGCUUGCUCCACGGAUUAGUGGCGAACGGGCGAGUAACACGUGAAUAACCUGCCCUCAAUUUCGGAAUAACCCAGGGAGACCUGGGCUAAUACCGGAUACGUAAACCUGUGGCAUCACAUGGUUUUGGAAAGUUUUUCGAUUGAGGAUGGAUUCGCGGCCUAUCAGCUUGUUGGUGAGGUAAUGGCUCACCAAGGCGACGACGGGCAGCCGGCCUGAGAGGGUGAACGGCCACACUGGGACUGAGACACGGCCCAGACUCCUACGGGAGGCAGCAGUGGGGAAUAUUGCGCAAUGGACGAAAGUCUGACGCAGCGACGCCUCGUGAGGGACGAAGGUCUUCGGAUUGUAAACCUCUUUCAGCAGGGACGAAGCGAAAGUGACGGUACCUGCAGAAGAAGCACCGGCUAACUAUGUGCCAGCAGCCGCGGUAAUACAUAGGGUGCAAGCGUUGUCCGGAUUUAUUGGGCGUAAAGAGUUCGUAGGCGGUUUUUCGCGUCGGAUGUGAAAACUCAGGGCUCAACCCUGAGCCUGCAUUCGAUACGGGAAGACUCGAGGACGGCAGGGGAGACUGGAACUUCUGGUGUAGCGGUGGAAUGCGCAGAUAUCAGAAAGAACACCAAUGGCGAAGGCAGGUCUCUGGGCCGAUCCUGACGCUGAGGAACGA
RNAcentral lists this ribosomal RNA (688 nucleotides) under uncultured Actinomycetes bacterium. RNAcentral describes it as "bacterial SSU rRNA". It matches the Rfam family "Bacterial small subunit ribosomal RNA", at positions 54 to 756 of the family's 1533-position model. Lineage: Bacteria; Bacillati; Actinomycetota; Actinomycetes. The record is from RNAcentral.